RNAcentral lists this ribosomal RNA (492 nucleotides) under uncultured bacterium. RNAcentral's name for it is "partial 16S ribosomal RNA". It matches the Rfam family "Bacterial small subunit ribosomal RNA", at positions 29 to 507 of the family's 1533-position model. The record is from RNAcentral.
AGUGAACGCUGGCGGUAGGCCUAACACAUGCAAGUCGAACGGCAGCACAGUAAGAGCUUGCUCUUACGGGUGGCGAGUGGCGGACGGGUGAGGAAUACAUCGGAAUCUACUUUUUCGUGGGGGAUAACGUAGGGAAACUUACGCUAAUACCGCAUACGACCUACGGGUGAAAGCAGGGGAUAUUCGGACCUUGCGCGAUUGAAUGAGCCGAUGUCGGAUUAGCUAGUUGGCGGGGUAAUGGCCCACCAAGGCGACGAUCCGUAGCUGGUCUGAGAGGAUGAUCGGCCACACUGGAACUGGGACACGGUCCAGACUCCUACGGGAGGCAGCAGUGGGGAAUAUUGGACAAUGGGCGCAAGCCUGAUCCAGCCAUACCGCGUGGGUGAAGAAGGCCUUCGGGUUGUAAAGCCCUUUUGUGGGGAAAGAAAAGCAGCAGGUUAAUACCCCGCUGUUCUGACGGUACCCAAAGAAUAAGCACCGGCUAACUUCGUG